This 106-nucleotide transfer RNA is filed under the name Xanthobacter dioxanivorans. It matches the Rfam family "tRNA". From Rfam's summary of the family: Transfer RNA (tRNA) molecules are approximately 80 nucleotides in length. Their secondary structure includes four short double-helical elements and three loops (D, anti-codon, and T loops). The record is from Rfam by way of RNAcentral. Lineage: Bacteria; Pseudomonadati; Pseudomonadota; Alphaproteobacteria; Hyphomicrobiales; Xanthobacteraceae.
CGCGGCGUAGCUCAGCUGGAAAGAGCACCCUGUUGGCGACGUGGGAGAGCGAUGGCCUCCUCUUCUACGGGCAGGGAGGGCGCGGGUUCAAGUCCCGCCGCCGCGC